This 22-nucleotide non-coding RNA is filed under the name Rattus norvegicus (Norway rat). The record is from RNAcentral. Lineage: Eukaryota; Metazoa; Chordata; Mammalia; Rodentia; Muridae.
UGAAGAUAGAGCUUUGCCAGAA